This 460-nucleotide ribosomal RNA is filed under the name uncultured bacterium. RNAcentral describes it as "partial 16S ribosomal RNA". It matches the Rfam family "Bacterial small subunit ribosomal RNA", at positions 338 to 795 of the family's 1533-position model. The record is from RNAcentral.
CCUACGGGUGGCUGCAGUGAGGAAUAUUGGUCAAUGGACGAGAGUCUGAACCAGCCAAGUAGCGUGAAGGAUGACUGCCCUCGGGGUUGUAACCUUCUUUUAUAAAGAAAUAAAACAAGGCACGUCUGCCUUAUUGCAUGUACUUUAUUAAUAAGGAUCGGCUAACUCCGUGCCAGGAGCCGCGGUAAUACGGAGGUUCCGAGCGUUAUCCGGAUUUAUUGGGUUUAAAGGGAGCGUAGAUGGGUUGUUAAGUCAGUUGUGAAAGUUUGCGGCUCAACCGUAAAAUUGCAAUUGAUACUGGCAGUCUUGAGUACAGGUGAGGUAGGCGGAAUUCGUGGUGUAGCGGUGAAAUGCUUAGAUAUUACGAAGAACCCCGAUUGCGAAGGCAGCUUACUAAACUGUGACUGACAUUGAGGCGCGAAAGUGUGGGUAGCAAACAGGAUUAGAUACCCUAGUAGUC